This 619-nucleotide ribosomal RNA is filed under the name Cryocola sp. RNAcentral describes it as "bacterial SSU rRNA". It matches the Rfam family "Bacterial small subunit ribosomal RNA", at positions 230 to 859 of the family's 1533-position model. The record is from RNAcentral. Lineage: Bacteria; Bacillati; Actinomycetota; Actinomycetes; Micrococcales; Microbacteriaceae.
CUCGCGGCCUAUCAGGUAGUUGGUGAGGUAACGGCCCACCAAGCCUACGACGGGUAGCCGGCCUGAGAGGGUGACCGGCCACACUGGGACUGAGACACGGCCCAGACUCCUACGGGAGGCAGCAGUGGGGAAUAUUGCACAAUGGGCGCAAGCCUGAUGCAGCAACGCCGCGUGAGGGACGACGGCCUUCGGGUUGUAAACCUCUUUUAGUAGGGAAGAAGCGAAAGUGACGGUACCUGCAGAAAAAGCACCGGCUAACUACGUGCCAGCAGCCGCGGUAAUACGUAGGGUGCAAGCGUUGUCCGGAAUUAUUGGGCGUAAAGAGCUCGUAGGCGGUUUGUCGCGUCUGCUGUGAAAUCCCGAGGCUCAACCUCGGGCCUGCAGUGGGUACGGGCAGACUAGAGUGCGGUAGGGGAGAUUGGAAUUCCUGGUGUAGCGGUGGAAUGCGCAGAUAUCAGGAGGAACACCGAUGGCGAAGGCAGAUCUCUGGGCCGUAACUGACGCUGAGGAGCGAAAGCGUGGGGAGCGAACAGGAUUAGAUACCCUGGUAGUCCACGCCGUAAACGUUGGGAACUAGAUGUGGGGACCAUUCCACGGUCUCCGUGUCGCAGCUAACGCA